Molecule: ribosomal RNA, 253 nt
Filed under: uncultured bacterium
Lineage: Bacteria
Description: partial 16S ribosomal RNA
Rfam family: Bacterial small subunit ribosomal RNA
Source: RNAcentral
UACGGGGGGGGCAAGCGUUGUUCGGAAUUACUGGGCGUAAAGGGUUCGUAGGUGGCCGACUAAGUCAGACGUGAAAUCCCUCAGCUCAACUGGGGAACUGCGUCUGAGACUGGCCGGCUUGAGUGCAGGAGAGGAACGCGGAAUUCCAGGUGUAGCGGUGAAAUGCGCAGAUAUCUGGAGGAACACCGGUGGCGAAGGCGGCGUUCUGGACUGCAACUGACACUGAGGAACGAAAGCCAGGGGAGCAAACGGG